GGGGGCGCACUGGUUUCGACGGGGAUAGUUGAAGCCAAGGCCGCAGGUCGAGGUUGGUCGAUGGCCUCGUAAAAAUCGACCACAAAGAUAAUUGCCAACGACAAUUACGAUUACGCAAUGGCUGCUUAAUUGCAGAGUUGCUACCUGACAGCUUAGCAUGUCACGAUUCCCCCGCUGACGCCUUAUAGGCGGAAGGAAUCGUCAAACUAUAGGGCUAGCCACAUACGUUUGUUCUUUGCCUAUGUCGCGAAACUCAUAAAAGGACUAGUCGGAUGGCCGUCUGGCCCGGAGCAAUCCAUCCGGCGAAUUUUCAUUCCGGACCUAAACCUGUAGACGUCUUCGCGGAUCGUUCUCGGACGGGAGUUCGACUCUCCCCGCCUCCACCA
RNAcentral lists this transfer-messenger RNA (386 nucleotides) under Pseudodesulfovibrio cashew. RNAcentral's name for it is "Standard tmRNA". It matches the Rfam family "transfer-messenger RNA". Rfam says of the family: Bacterial tmRNA, also known as 10Sa RNA or SsrA, is named for its dual tRNA and mRNA-like properties. Its role is to liberate the mRNA from a stalled ribosome. Lineage: Bacteria; Pseudomonadati; Thermodesulfobacteriota; Desulfovibrionia; Desulfovibrionales; Desulfovibrionaceae. The record is from RNAcentral.